Molecule: long non-coding RNA, 653 nt
Organism: Colius striatus (speckled mousebird)
Lineage: Eukaryota; Metazoa; Chordata; Aves; Coliiformes; Coliidae
Exons: 4
Source: RefSeq, a predicted model, not a curated record
UGUUAAGAUGGCUCCUGUAAGAAGUUGCUCAAAACUCUCCCCAUCUGAGCCAGACUCACUUCUAGGGCUGAGACAAUUAGACGCCUCCACAAUCACUUUUUAAGAAGAAACUGGAAGAGGAGAGUUCUUCCUGUUUCUUCCUUCUUCUGUCUCUUCUUCCUUUCUGGCUGGUGGUGGUGCAAGGAGUGGGAAGAGAGAAUCAACCAUGCGGACUCCAAGCCUAAGAUGAGAGUUUCAAGCUCAGCUCAUCUGAUCCCAGAGAAAGUGAUGAAAAGAAGAAAAUGCAACCCAAAAUACCAGAGUGAAUAUGAAAUAUCAAAUAGAAGAAUAAUAGAUACAGAUAAAUAGAUCUCAUUGUACAACUCAAAGAUCACAUGAAGCUAAGGAACCAUGCUGGUUUCAUCUGGAAAAAAGAAGGCCUUAACACUUUCUACAACUACCUGAAAGGAAGUGGAUGUCCAUCUCUUCUCUCAGAACACAACAUGGACUGCCUUUUUCCUUCUUCUAUACACAAUGACAAAAGGCUCAUUGGUGGCUGACAGUCUCUGCGUCCAUCAAGAAAGAUUUUGGUACAUUGAAACACUUUCUAAAAUUCAGUUGAAAUAACAAUAAUAAUGAAGGCUUUUGAUACUGCUCAGGCAGUGUGGCUUGGA